Molecule: ribosomal RNA, 478 nt
Filed under: uncultured bacterium
Lineage: Bacteria
Description: partial 16S ribosomal RNA
Rfam family: Bacterial small subunit ribosomal RNA
Source: RNAcentral
GACGAACGCUGGCGGCGUGCUUAACACAUGCAAGUCGAACGGUAAGGCCCUUCGGGGUACACGAGUGGCGAACGGGUGAGUAACACGUGGGUGAUCUGCCCUGCACUUCGGGAUAAGCCUGGGAAACUGGGUCUAAUACCGGAUAGGACUCCUGGCUUCAUGGUUGGGGGUGGAAAGCUUUUGCGGUGUGGGAUGGGCCCGCGGCCUAUCAGCUUGUUGGUGGGGUAAUGGCCUACCAAGGCGACGACGGGUAGCCGGCCUGUGAGGGUGACCGGUGACACUGGGACUGAGAUGCGGCCCAGAUUCCUACGGGAGGCAGCAGUGGGGAAUAUGGCACAAUGGGCGCAAGUCUGAUGCAGCGACGUCGCGUGAGGGAUGACGGCCUUCGGGUUGUAAACCUCUUUCAGCUAUGACGAAGCGCAAGUGACGGUAGUAGCAGAAGAAGGACCGGCCAACUACGUGCCAGCAGCCGCAGUAA